RNAcentral lists this ribosomal RNA (459 nucleotides) under uncultured bacterium. RNAcentral's name for it is "partial 16S ribosomal RNA". It matches the Rfam family "Bacterial small subunit ribosomal RNA", at positions 338 to 795 of the family's 1533-position model. The record is from RNAcentral.
CCUACGGGAGGCAGCAGUGAGGAAUAUUGGUCAAUGGACGAGAGUCUGAACCAGCCAAGUAGCGUGAAGGAUGACUGCCCUAUGGGUUGUAAACUUCUUUUAUAUGGGAAUAAAACAGGGUAUGCAUACCCUCUUGUAUGUACCAUAUGAAUAAGGAUCGGCUAACUCCGUGCCAGCAGCCGCGGUAAUACGGAGGAUCCGAGCGUUAUCCGGAUUUAUUGGGUUUAAAGGGAGCGUAGGUGGAUUGUUAAGUCAGUUGUGAAAGUUUGCGGCUCAACCGUAAAAUUGCAGUUGAAACUGGCAGUCGUGAGUACAGUAGAGGUGGGCGGAAGUCGUGGUGUAGCGGUGAAAUGCUUAGAUAUCACGAAGAACUCCGAUUGCGAAGGCAGCUCACUGGACUGCAACUGACACUGAUGCUCGAAGUGUGGGUAUCAAACAGGAUUAGAUACCCGAGUAGUC